GUGUGGCUUAGUGGUAGAGUGCUUGCCUAGCAUGCAUGAAGCCCUGGGUUCGAUUCCUCAGCAC
This 64-nucleotide transfer RNA is filed under the name Dipodomys ordii (Ord's kangaroo rat). It matches the Rfam family "tRNA", at positions 5 to 66 of the family's 71-position model. From Rfam's summary of the family: Transfer RNA (tRNA) molecules are approximately 80 nucleotides in length. Their secondary structure includes four short double-helical elements and three loops (D, anti-codon, and T loops). Lineage: Eukaryota; Metazoa; Chordata; Mammalia; Rodentia; Heteromyidae. The record is from Rfam by way of RNAcentral.